RNAcentral lists this ribosomal RNA (258 nucleotides) under uncultured bacterium. Its description in RNAcentral is "partial 16S ribosomal RNA". The record is from RNAcentral.
CUGCUGCCUCCCGUAGGAGUUUGGGCCGUGUCUCAGUCCCAAUGUGGCCGUUCACCCUCUCAGGCCGGCUACUGAUCGUUGCCUUGGUAGGCCAUUACCCCACCAACUAGCUAAUCAGACGCGGAACCAUCGUAUACCACCAGAGUUUUUCACACCGCUUCAUGCGAAGCUGUGCGCUUAUGCGGUAUUAGCACCUAUUUCUAAGUGUUAUCCCCCAGUAUACGGCAGGUUUUCCACGCGUUACUCACCCGUCCGCCA